RNAcentral lists this ribosomal RNA (350 nucleotides) under uncultured bacterium. Its description in RNAcentral is "bacterial SSU rRNA". It matches the Rfam family "Bacterial small subunit ribosomal RNA", at positions 29 to 378 of the family's 1533-position model. The record is from RNAcentral.
AUUGAACGCUGGCGGCAUGCUUUACACAUGCAAGUCGAACGGCAGCACGGGUGCUUGCACCUGGUGGCGAGUGGCGAACGGGUGAGUAAUGCAUCGGAACGUACCCAGUAAUGGGGGAUAACGCACCGAAAGGUGUGCUAAUACCGCAUACGCCCUGAGGGGGAAAGCGGGGGAUCGUAAGACCUCGCGUUAUUGGAGCGGCCGAUGCCGGAUUAGCUAGUUGGUGGGGUAAAGGCCCACCAAGGCGACGAUCCGUAGCUGGUCUGAGAGGACGACCAGCCACACUGGGACUGAGACACGGCCCAGACUCCUACGGGAGGCAGCAGUGGGGAAUUUUGGACAAUGGGCGA